GCUGUUCCUUUCCUCGACUCCCAAACCACAGAGCACCCAUUUUGUCAUUCCUUCUUAUCUCGUGUCAUCCAUUUAUCCGUGCCUGUCGCGUCGUCGUUUCUUUAUUUUUUCUUUUCUUUUUUUUUUUUCUUUUUUUUUUCGAGCAAACACGAGCACUUGAGAAUGAGAAUGGCAUUAACAAGGAAACGUAUUUAUUACAAAAAGUUCAACGAUAGAACGAGUUAGUAAAUAACCAGAAAGAGAGAGACAGAGAGAGAGAGAGAGAGAGAGAGAGAGAAAGAGAAAGAGAGAGAGCACCGAGAAAACGAAACGAUUUAUGCUCUUCUUUAGUCUCCUUCUCAAGUACUCGCCUCCGAGUAAAUUCUUUUAACAUUACCACCGAUCCAAGCCUGCGCCCCACAUUAUAUCUCUUCGGCGGAUUCCGCCUGAAAGACAUGGGUAGUGAGAUGUUCUCACGCAAUCGCGUCUCACUACCUUGUCUUUCAUGUGGCGUUCGUUGAACCCCUUCAACCUCUUCAACCUCGUCGACACGAGAAUCGGAGCACGUACCCUACAUUUUCUUUCCCCCUUGAGUAUUUUUCUCUUUUUUCAAAGUUUCGUUGAACGCGAAAUUUUUCAUGCGACCCAUCGCCAAUAUAACAUUCGUUAUUAGUCUCCUACGACGCGAUGGAGUAGUGACGGGAUUUGUUGGAAGAGAGAGAGAGAGAGAGAGAGAGAGAGAGAGAGAGAGAGAGAGAGAGAGAGAGAGAGAGAGAGAGAGAGAGAGAGAGAGAGAGAGAAAGAGAGAGAAUGUGUGAGAAAGAUGGAAGGAGGAGAUAGACCUUAGAGAAGUAAAGCACGGCGAGCACGAUCCUCGAUCGAUAGGGGCAUGCUUUUACCAUCAAAGUUGGUUUGUCAUAGAGAUCAACUAUCACAGCCAGCUUUGAUGAGCAAAAUUGUGUCCGUCCUCAACACUGUUUAAACGAGAGCGAGAGGUUGAGUGAGAGAAAGAAGAACAAGAGUGAGUGAAUGAGUGAUUGAAUGAGUGAAUGAAUCAGUCAGAGAGAGUGAGAGAGAGAGUGUGUGUGUGUGUGCGUGCGUGCGUGCGUGCGUACGUGCGUGCGUGCGCGCGUGUGUGUGUGUGUGUGUGUAUGUGAUGGAGAGAAUGUUGACGCAAAACAAGCGUGUUGUUUCAAAGAAUCAAGAACAAAAGAAGAAAAAAGAAAGAAGAUACGAGAGAAAGGAAGAGGAACGGAUGAUCGAGUACACGAGAUCGAAGAAAUCUAAUGAAGAAGAGGAAGAGCUGCUGGGAGCAACGAAUGGCGGAUAAAAAGAUACGAAUCACGCUCGGCGAUCGUGUAUCAACAUCGGGGAAAAAAUCGAGCGAGCAAGCCAGAUUAUUAUGUUGGAGACAAAAGGAAACACGAUCCAAUCGUCAAAUUGGCUGUGACGUGUAGCCUUUUCUUUUGAUUUCAUAUCACAGCCAUUUUUGAUGUUUGGAUCGAUGUUUUUUCGCAUCGUUGGGCCCGCACGUUCCUCGACCUCCUUCCUCCUACGUGCCCAAGGAAGAGAAAGACUAACUCAGAUAGCAAAAAAGAAAAAAAAAAAGAAAAAGAAUAUAGGGAGAAAACGAAA
Vespa velutina is the source of this 1614-nucleotide long non-coding RNA. RefSeq lists it as uncharacterized. The record is from RefSeq and is a predicted model, not a curated record. The transcript has 2 exons. NCBI's taxonomy places the organism in Eukaryota, Metazoa, Arthropoda, Insecta, Hymenoptera, Vespidae.